This 301-nucleotide ribosomal RNA is filed under the name uncultured bacterium. RNAcentral's name for it is "partial 16S ribosomal RNA". It matches the Rfam family "Bacterial small subunit ribosomal RNA", at positions 509 to 807 of the family's 1533-position model. The record is from RNAcentral.
CAGCAGCCGCGGUAACACGGAGGGGGCUAGCGUUGUUCGGAAUUACUGGGCGUAAAGCGCACGUAGGCGGCUUGGUAAGUUAGAGGUGAAAGCCCGGAGCUCAACUCCGGAAUUGCCUUUAAGACUGCCGAGCUAGUAGGUGAGAGAGGUAAGUGGAAUUCCGAGUGUAGAGGUGAAAUUCGUAGAUAUUCGGAAGAACACCAGUGGCGAAGGCGGCUUACUGGCUCAUUCUAGACGCUGAGGUGCGAAAGCGUGGGGAGCAAACAGGAUUAGAUACCCGCGUAGUCCCUGUCUCUUAUAC